Molecule: non-coding RNA, 71 nt
Organism: Phytophthora infestans T30-4
Lineage: Eukaryota; Oomycota; Peronosporomycetes; Peronosporales; Peronosporaceae
Source: the annotation of a RefSeq genome assembly
GACAGCUUGGCCGAGUGGUUAAGGCGUUAGCCUGCUAAGUUAAUGGGGGAGUUCGAAUCUCACAGCUGUCG